Molecule: ribosomal RNA, 301 nt
Filed under: uncultured bacterium
Lineage: Bacteria
Description: partial 16S ribosomal RNA
Rfam family: Bacterial small subunit ribosomal RNA
Source: RNAcentral
CAGCAGCCACGGGAAUACGUAGGGUGCAAGCGUUAAUCGGAGUUACUGGGCGUAAAGCGUGCGCAGGCGGUUUGUUAAGACAGAUGUGAAAUCCCCGGGCUCAACCUGGGAACUGCAUUUGUGACUGGCAAGCUAGAGUAUGGCAGAGGGGGGUGGAAUUCCGCGUGUAGCAGUGAAAUGCGUAGAUAUGCGGAGGAACACCGAUGGCGAAGGCAACCCCCUGGGCCAAUACUGACGCUCAUGCACGAAAGCGUGGGGAGCAAACAGGAUUAGAGACCCCUGUAGUCCCUGUCUCUUAUAC